Molecule: long non-coding RNA, 539 nt
Filed under: Corvus moneduloides (New Caledonian crow)
Lineage: Eukaryota; Metazoa; Chordata; Aves; Passeriformes; Corvidae
Description: lncRNA (ENSCMUG00000018976.1)
Source: RNAcentral
UGCCGAACAGCACAGCGCAGCGUCGCGCAGCCCGCCUGGAGCCCCCUCCCUCCCUCCUCCCUCCCUCCUUCCAUCCAUCCCUCCCUCUCUCCUCCUCCUCCCUCGCUCCCGCCCGCCCGCCCGCCGCUCUGAAGGAUGCCCGGUAAGUAGCGACGAGGACCGGCACCUCUGCCGGUGCGCGAUGUGAGGGGUUAGGGACUGCUUAUACCGCUGCCGCCCGCCGGGGGGGCGCAGGGCGGGGGGGCGAGGGGAGGGGAGGUGACAGCGAUCCGAGGCAGGAGACGGCGGGGCUCGCCGGGUGCUCCUCAGAAGGACUUUUAGCUGCGUGGCCGGGGCUUGGAUGUGGGCGCCGAGGGACGGGGUCUGUGCACCGCAGCGGGCACCGGCCGGGGCGGGGGCGCUUCGCCUGCGCUGCGGGUUGCUGCCUGCAGCACCGCGGCUCAGCGAGUUGUACACCAUUUCAGCAGAGAUGUCUGAUCUUUCCAUCUGCAUACCUGGAGAUGCUUUAUUCCCUGAAUGGUCUUUUCAGUAACCACUAA